RNAcentral lists this ribosomal RNA (425 nucleotides) under uncultured bacterium. Its description in RNAcentral is "partial 16S ribosomal RNA". It matches the Rfam family "Bacterial small subunit ribosomal RNA", at positions 354 to 796 of the family's 1533-position model. The record is from RNAcentral.
GUGGGGAAUCUUAGACAAUGGGGGAAACCCUGAUCUAGCCAUGCCGCGUGAGCGAUGAAGGCCUUAGGGUUGUAAAGCUCUUUCAGCUGGGAAGAUAAUGACUGUACCCCAAGAAGAAGCCCCGGCUAACUCCGUGCCAGCAGCCGCGGUAAUACGGAGGGGGCUAGCGUUGUUCGGAAUUACUGGGCGUAAAGCGCACGUAGGCGGACUGGAAAGUCAGGGGUGAAAUCCCGGGGCUCAACCCCGGAACUGCCUUUGAAACUCCCAGUCUUGAGUUCGAGAGAGGUGAGUGGAAUUCCGAGUGUAGAGGUGAAAUUCGUAGAUAUUCGGAGGAACACCAGUGGCGAAGGCGGCUCACUGGCUCGAUACUGACGCUGAGGUGCGAAAGCGUGGGGAGCAAACAGGAUUAGAUACCCUAGUAGUCC